AACGCGAAAAGGCGCAAGCCCUAGUAGAGUGGCGGACGGGUGCGUAACACGUAGGAAUCUUCCUGGCAGUGGGGGACAACUUGGGGAAACUCAAGCUAAUACCGCAUACGCCCUACGGGGGAAAGCGGGGGACCUUUAACGGCCUCGCGCUGACAGAUGAGCCUGCGUCGGAUUAGCUUGUUGGCAGGGUAACGGCCUACCAAGGCAACGAUCCGUAGCUGGUCUGAGAGGACGAUCAGCCACACUGGGACUGAGACACGGCCCAGACUCCUACGGGAGGCAGCAGUGGGGAAUAUUGGACAAUGGGCGCAAGCCUGAUCCAGCAAUGCCGCGUGUGUGAAGAAGGCCUGCGGGUUGUAAAGCACUUUCAGGGGGGAAGAAAAGUCGGAUGCCAAUAUCAUCCAAUCUUGACGUUACCCCAAGAAGAAGCACCGGCUAACUCCGUGCCAGCAGCCGCGGUAAUACGGAGGGUGCGAGCGUUAAUCGGAAUUACUGGGCGUAAAGAGCACGUAGGCGGUUUGAUAAGUCGGAUGUGAAAGCCCUGGGCUUAACCUGGGAAUUGCAUUCGAUACUGCCAAGCUAGAGUACGGGAGAGGGGGGUAGAAUUCCUGGUGUAGCGGUGAAAUGCGUAGAUAUCAGGAGGAAUACCAG
RNAcentral lists this ribosomal RNA (651 nucleotides) under uncultured Achromatium sp. RNAcentral's name for it is "bacterial SSU rRNA". It matches the Rfam family "Bacterial small subunit ribosomal RNA", at positions 65 to 712 of the family's 1533-position model. Lineage: Bacteria; Pseudomonadati; Pseudomonadota; Gammaproteobacteria; Thiotrichales; Thiotrichaceae. The record is from RNAcentral.